AUAAGCGGAGGAAAAGAAACCAACAGGGAUUGCCCUAGUAACGGCGAGUGAAGCGGCAACAGCUCAAAUUUGAAAUCUGGCCUCGGCCCGAGUUGUAAUUUGCAGAGGAUGCUUCUGGCGCGGUGCCUUCCGAGUUCCCUGGAACGGGACGCCACAGAGGGUGAGAGCCCCGUAUGGUCGGACACCAAGCCUGUGUGAAGCUCCUUCGACGAGUCGAGUAGUUUGGGAAUGCUGCUCUAAAUGGGAGGUAAAUCUCUUCUAAAGCUAAAUACCGGCCAGAGACCGAUAGCGCACAAGUAGAGUGAUCGAAAGAUGAAAAGCACCUUGAAAAGGGGGUUAAAUAGUACGUGAAAUUGUUGAAAGGGAAGCACUUAUGACCAGACUUGGGCCGGGCGGCUCAUCAGGGGUUCUCCCCUGUGCACUCCGCCCGGCCCAGGCCAGCAUCGGUUCUCGCGGGGGGAUAAGACCGCCGGGAACGUAGCACCCUCCGGGGUGUGUUAUAUCCCGGCGGACGAUACCCUCGUGGGGACCGAGGUCCGCGCUCCGCAAGGAUGCUGGCGUAAUGGUCAUCAGUGACCCGUCUUGAAACACGGACCAAGGAGUCGUCCAUUAGAGCGAGCGUUUGGGUGUAAAACCCGCACGCGUAAUGAAAGUGAACGUAGGUGAGAGCUUCGGCGCAUCAUCGACCGAUCCUGAUGUUCUCGGAAGGAUUUGAGUAAGAGUUUUAACGGACGGACCCGAAAGACAGUGAACUAUGCUUGUAUAGGGUGAAGCCAGAGGAAACUCUGGUGGAGGCUCGCAGCGGUUCUGACGUGCAAAUCGAUCGUCAAAUAUGAGCAUGGGGGCGAAAGACUAAUCGAACUGUCUAGUAGCUGGUUACC
This 881-nucleotide ribosomal RNA is filed under the name Diaporthe saccarata. Its description in RNAcentral is "eukaryotic LSU rRNA". It matches the Rfam family "Eukaryotic large subunit ribosomal RNA", at positions 46 to 959 of the family's 3401-position model. Lineage: Eukaryota; Fungi; Ascomycota; Sordariomycetes; Diaporthales; Diaporthaceae. The record is from RNAcentral.